UUUGUCUGAAUGCUGUCUGAUUCGUCUGAACACUGUCUGAUUUGUCUGUACACUUUGUGAUUCGUCUGAACACUUUGUGAUUCUUCUGAACACUGUCUGAUUCAUCUGAACACUUUGUGAUUCUUCUGAACACUGUCUGAUUCGUCUGAACACUUUGUGAUUCUUCUGAACACUGUCUGAUUGGUCUGUACACUUUGUGAUUCGUCUGAACACUGUCUAAUUCGUCUGUACACUUUGUGAUUCGUCUGAACACUGUGAUUCGUCUGAACACUUUGUGAUUCGUCUGAACACUGUCUAAUUCGUCUGUACACUUUGUGAUUCGUCUGAACACUGUGAUUCGUCUGAACACUUUGUGAUUCGUCUGAACACUGUCUGAUUCGUCUGUACACUUUGUGAUUCGUCUGAACACUUUGUGAUUUGUCUGAACACUUUUUUAUUCGUCUGAACGCUGUCUGAUUCGUCUGAACGCUGUCUGAUUUGUCUGAAUGCUGUCUGAUUCGUCUGAACACUUUGUGAUUCUUCUAAAAAAAAUCAUUUUGUUUAGAGCAGAAACAUUCCUCUCUCUAUAUCCUGCCUCACACUCCAGGUUAAAGCAAACUUCACUAAUCACUCAUCGUCUCUACAGACUUUCUCAGGACACUGAUAUAAACUCCACCCCCAACAGUUCCUGCUCUGUAGAACACCGGUACUAAAGUCUCCUGUACAUUAGGACUCUUUUAGACACACAUUUAACCCUGAGGAUAAAAGUUCCUCAGGUUUUAUUGGAAAAAAAUUCCUGGGUUCUUGUAAAGGUUCCUUCAGUGGAAGGAAUGUGGUGUAGCUCAUGGAAGGCCAGGAUGAAGUGGAGUUUAUCUUCUUCUACAGCACGGUCUCAAUCCCAACACCUCAUGCUGGGAAUUUGCAGGUGUACCUUGGGGACAGUGUGGGACCUCGCUGGCCUCGGGCUGGUUGUGUGCAUAGCUUGACCUUGAUGGGAUGUUUGCUGGAUUUCGGGGUAUGAUGGAAUAUCGGGGUCAGGAAAUGUUCUCAGAACUCAGUCCAAGAUAAAGUGCUGAAGAUACUAAGGUGACUGAAAUAACUGCUGCUGAUGUGAAGGAAAAGGUGUGGAAAAACCUCAUCAAACUGCAGGAGCAGGAUCUCUCCUGUAACCCUGAUUUUCAUUAAGCAUCAGGAGAUCCUUCUCCAUCCAUUUAGUAUCCUCAUCAUCUUCAUCAUCUUCAUCCCUUUCACACAUAAAGCUGUAUGUUAAUUUGUGUAAUUGAGAUGUAAAGAAUAUUCCACUCCGAAUUAAAUAUCUGAACAUCA
This is a long non-coding RNA of Silurus meridionalis, 1305 nucleotides long. RefSeq lists it as uncharacterized. Lineage: Eukaryota; Metazoa; Chordata; Actinopteri; Siluriformes; Siluridae. The record is from RefSeq and is a predicted model, not a curated record. The transcript has 2 exons.